GACGAACGCUGGCGGCGUGCCUAAUACAUGCAAGUCGAGCGGAGCUUAUCCUUCGGGGUAAGCUUAGCGGCGGACGGGCGAGUAACACGUAGGCAACCUGCCCCUUAGCCUGGGAUAACUACCGGAAACGGUAGCUAAUACCGGAUAAUUUCUUUUUUCUCCUGAAGAGAGAAUGAAAGGCGGAGCAAUCUGCCAUUAAGGGAUGGGCCUGCGGCGCAUUAGCUAGUUGGUGGGGUAACGGCUCACCAAGGCGACGAUGCGUAGCCGACCUGAGAGAGUGAACGGCCACACUGGGACUGAGACACGGCCCAGACUCCUACGGGAGGCAGCAGUAGGGAAUCUUACGCAAUGGGCGAAAGCCUGACGGAGCAACGCCGCGUGAGUGAUGAAGGGUUUCGGAUCGUAAAGCUCUGUUGCCAGGGAAGAACGUCCGGUAGAGUAACUGCUACCGGAGUGACGGUACCUGAGAAGAAAGCCCCGGCUAACUACGUGCCAGCCGCCGCGGUAA
RNAcentral lists this ribosomal RNA (508 nucleotides) under uncultured bacterium. Its description in RNAcentral is "partial 16S ribosomal RNA". It matches the Rfam family "Bacterial small subunit ribosomal RNA", at positions 28 to 523 of the family's 1533-position model. The record is from RNAcentral.